This 301-nucleotide ribosomal RNA is filed under the name uncultured bacterium. RNAcentral describes it as "partial 16S ribosomal RNA". It matches the Rfam family "Bacterial small subunit ribosomal RNA", at positions 509 to 807 of the family's 1533-position model. The record is from RNAcentral.
CAGCAGCCACGGUAAUACGUAGGUGGCAAGCGCCGUCCGGAAUUAUUGGGCGUAAAGGGCUCGCAGGCGGUUUCUUAAGUCUGAUGUGAAAGCCCCCGGCUCAACCGGGGAGGGUCAUUGGAAACUGGGAAACUUGAGUGCAGAAGAGGAGAGUGGAAUUCCACGUGUAGCGGUGAAAUGCGUAGAGAUGUGGAGGAACACCAGUGGCGAAGGCGACUCUCUGGUCUGUAACUGACGCUGAGGAGCGAAAGCGUGGGGAGCGAACAGGAUUAGAUACCCGAGUAGUCCCUGUCUCUUAUAC